GGAGAGUUGGCUGAGUCUGGGUUAAGGCGCCUGCUUCGAAACCAGGAGGCGGUAACACGUCCGGGGGUUCGAAUCCCUCACUCUCUUCCA
Molecule: transfer RNA, 90 nt
Filed under: marine sediment metagenome
Description: tRNA-Ser
Rfam family: tRNA
About the family: Transfer RNA (tRNA) molecules are approximately 80 nucleotides in length. Their secondary structure includes four short double-helical elements and three loops (D, anti-codon, and T loops).
Source: RNAcentral